CCCUUAGAUGUUCUGGGCUGCACGCGCGCUACACUGAAGCGUUCAACGAGUAUUCACCUUGCCCGGGAGGGUUGGGUAAUCUUUUGAAAACGCUUCGUGAUGGGGAUAGAUUAUUGCAAUUAUUAAUCUUCAACGAGGAAUUCCUAGUAAGCGCGAGUCAUCAGCUCGUGCUGAUUACGUCCCUGCCCUUUGUACACACCGCCCGUCGCACCUACCGAUUGAAUGGUCCGGUGAAAACCUCGGAUUCUUGUUUGAUUCUAGCAAUAGAGACUUACGGGAAGAAGUCGUUUAAACCUUACCAUUUAGAGGAAGGUGAANUCGUANCA
Molecule: ribosomal RNA, 326 nt
Filed under: uncultured eukaryote
Lineage: Eukaryota
Description: partial 18S ribosomal RNA
Rfam family: Eukaryotic small subunit ribosomal RNA
Source: RNAcentral